RNAcentral lists this ribosomal RNA (502 nucleotides) under uncultured bacterium. Its description in RNAcentral is "partial 16S ribosomal RNA". It matches the Rfam family "Bacterial small subunit ribosomal RNA", at positions 28 to 507 of the family's 1533-position model. The record is from RNAcentral.
GACGAACGCUGGCGGCGUGCCUAAUACGUGCAAGUCGAACGAACCGCGACUAAGUGCUUGCACUAAGUCAAGGUGAGUGGCGAACGGGUGAGUAACACGUGGGUAACCUACCUCAUAGUGGGGGAUAACAGUCGGAAACGACUGCUAAUACCGCAUAGGACAUAGGAUCACAUGAUCCAGUGAGGAAAGGUGGCGCAAGCUAUCGCUAAGAGAUGGACCCGCGGUGCAUUAGCUAGUUGGUAGGGUAAAGGCCUACCAAGGCGAUGAUGCAUAGCCGACCUGAGAGGGUGAUCGGCCACAUUGGGACUGAGACACGGCCCAAACUCCUACGGGAGGCAGCAGUAGGGAACCUUCCGCAAUGGACGCAAGUCUGACGGAGCAACGCCGCGUGAGUGAAGAAGGUCUUCGGAUCGUAAAGCUCUGUUGUUAGAGAAGAACAGCGCAUAGAGUAACUGCUAUGCGUGUGACGGUAUCUAACCAGAAAGCCACGGCUAACUACGUG